RNAcentral lists this non-coding RNA (23 nucleotides) under Cricetulus griseus (Chinese hamster). The record is from RNAcentral. Lineage: Eukaryota; Metazoa; Chordata; Mammalia; Rodentia; Cricetidae.
UCGAUUCCGGCUCGAAGGACUUC